This 599-nucleotide ribosomal RNA is filed under the name uncultured bacterium. RNAcentral's name for it is "bacterial SSU rRNA". It matches the Rfam family "Bacterial small subunit ribosomal RNA", at positions 28 to 641 of the family's 1533-position model. The record is from RNAcentral.
GAUGAACGCUGGCGGCGUGCCUAAUACAUGCAAGUCGAACGGGAGUCGUAGUUUUCGGAUUACGAUGAGAGUGGCGCACGGGUGAGUAACACGUAGCUGAUCUGCCCUCUGCAGGGGGAUAACUUGCCGAAAGGUGAGCUAAUACCGCGUAAGCUUGGCGGGGCUAGAGGCCUGCUAAGGAAAGCGUUAGCGGCAGAGGAGGAGGCUGCGAUCCAUCAGCUCGUUGGUGAGGUAAAAGCUCACCAAGGCGACGACGGGUAGGGGGCCUGAGAGGGUGACCCCCCACACUGGAACUGAGACACGGUCCAGACUCCUACGGGAGGCAGCAGUAAGGAAUAUUGCACAGUGGGCGGAAGCCUGAUGCAGCAACGCCGCGUGAAGGAUGAAGGUUUUCGGAUCAUAAACUUCUUUUAGAUGGGAAGAGCAAGGACGGUACCAUCGGAAUAAGUCUCGGCUAACUACGUGCCAGCAGCCGCGGUAAAACGUAGGAGGCGAGCGUUAUCCGGAAUUACUGGGCGUAAAGCGCGCGUAGGCGGUGGUUUAAGUGGUGCGUGAAAGCUCCUGGCUCAACUGGGAGAGGACGUACCAAACUGAAUGAC